GACGUAGGGCGCGAGCGUUGUCCGGAUUUAUUGGGCGUAAAGAGCUCGUAGGCGGCUUGUCGCGUCGUCCGUGAAAACCUGCAGCUCAACUGCAGGCUUGCGGUCGAUACGGGCAGGCUAGAGUUCGGUAGGGGGAGACUGGAAUUCCUGGUGUAGCGGUGAAAUGCGCAGAUAUCAGGAAGAACACCAGUGGCGAAGGCGGUCUGCUGGGCCGUUGCUGACGCUGAGGCGCGACAGCGUGGGGAGCAAACAGG
Molecule: ribosomal RNA, 254 nt
Filed under: uncultured bacterium
Lineage: Bacteria
Description: partial 16S ribosomal RNA
Rfam family: Bacterial small subunit ribosomal RNA
Source: RNAcentral